Molecule: ribosomal RNA, 229 nt
Filed under: Vibrio parahaemolyticus
Lineage: Bacteria; Pseudomonadati; Pseudomonadota; Gammaproteobacteria; Vibrionales; Vibrionaceae
Also listed under: 2 other names
Description: partial 16S ribosomal RNA
Rfam family: Bacterial small subunit ribosomal RNA
Source: RNAcentral
AAAUUGAAGAGUUUGAUCAUGGCUCAGAUUGAACGCUGGCGGCAGGCCUAACACAUGCAAGUCGAGCGGAAACGAGUUAUCAGAACCUUCGGGGGACGAUAACGGCGUCGAGCGGCGGACGGGUGAGUAAUGCCUAGGAAAUUGCCCUGAUGUGGGGGAUAACCAUUGGAAACGAUGGCUAAUACCGCAUGAUGCCUACGGGCCAAAGAGGGGGACCUUCGGGCCUCUC